Non-coding RNA from Myodes glareolus (Bank vole), 751 nucleotides. The record is from RefSeq and is a predicted model, not a curated record. NCBI's taxonomy places the organism in Eukaryota, Metazoa, Chordata, Mammalia, Rodentia, Cricetidae.
CCCGGGCUCGCGCGCGUUGCCAAGCGGCCGUUUCCGUAGCAACCCCGCCCGGGGAUGGAGGACCAGGCAGGGAGGGGGGCCGGGAAGCAAAAGAGAUAGAUCAAAAAGAGGGAAAGAGAGGGACAGUGAAGCUAGGGGCGAUGGGGGCUAAGCCGAGGUCUGGUCCGGCUUGGCAGCACCAGCGAGAGAGCUGUGCGAGCUGCUUGGCUGGGAAGUCAGGGCAAGGGGGCCCGGCCUGCUCUCCGGUGCGUUCAGCUCCGGGGCCUCCCAGGGCCCCAGACUUUAAAGUGCUCAAGUUGGGGUCGGCGCCAUCAUGACGCCCGAGACUGUGAGGCCCCGCGGCAGAGCGCGCUGAAGCAAUGAUCUCUGCAGGGGUCAGCAUCCGGCUUCCUCCCCAAGCUGAGCUCUUGACGAGGCAGGGAGGGAGUUGUAGUUGUCGUUGGUACCCAGGGCAGCUUUUUAAUUUUUAUUUUUAUUUAUCACCAUGUCUAAGGAUAGAUGGGAUAGGGUCAGCAAUUCCCACCGCCCGAGAUUAUCCAGACUGACUUAUCCCUAAGCCUCAAAGCAACAUCACCUCCCUGUGGAAGAUUCCCUGCGAGGCUCAGCAAUUAACCGCGGGGUUUGCAGCAGGAACUACUGAGGUGAUUAGUAUUCAGGCUUAAUUCUCAGAACCCCGCUCGGGAAUUCAAAGUGCGGUAGUAUUCAGCCGCAUUUCGAAACAUCAAUAAAAUGUUAGUCAUUUGCGGAUGAA